RNAcentral lists this unclassified non-coding RNA (4115 nucleotides) under Hevea brasiliensis (rubber tree). Lineage: Eukaryota; Viridiplantae; Streptophyta; Magnoliopsida; Malpighiales; Euphorbiaceae. The record is from RNAcentral.
CUUCACCCCACAUUGUCUGGAACUGUAAUAGUGGAAUUGUUGCCUUCCUAAAACCCUCCAUUUUCCACAGGCUCAUCCUGUCAUUACUCUGCUUGAUUAUGCCAUUUUUGUCUAAUUAUUAUACUCCUCUUAUUGUCAUUACAUUAACAUUUAUAAAGAUUUUUCCCUUUUUCUUUUAAAAAUUUCUGUUAGUUCUUACAAUAUUUGAAGCCCUGAGCAGUCCAAAAUAGGAACCAAAUAGCAGCAAUCAAUUGGGGUUUAUGCAUUUUCCUUUCAUGGAAUUUCCUUAUCCCUCUAAAAUGGAAAGCAAAAUCAAUUGAUAGCUAUAUCUCUUCAAUGUAACCCCCAUCAUCUACACUCACAUUUCCCUUUUCUUAACAAUCACUUGCUUAUUUUUAUGCACUCAUUCAGUGAAAAAGAAACUUGGGAAAUGUUGUUUGGAAAAAUCAUGUGAAUGUCCAGAAAAGUACAAAUGCGGAGGAUCUUGAGAGAAGGACACAGGAGGAGCCCUCGAAUAUCUGCUUUAGAUGCGAGGAAGGCUCAGCCAUCGAGGUCUCCUGUUGCUCGAACUAGGUGUAGUACCAUUACUGUUACUAGUACUAGCACUAGUUUACACGUAGAGCGUGAGCAAAAGAAACGCCGUUGUUGGGGUAAUGGUGAGGGGCCAUCCUCCCGGACCAAGGCCACGAAGAAGAGGAAGCUCAGACCUCUUCAAGAUGUGGCUGCUUCUCCUCCAAGUGCCCAACAGGUUUUGCUUUAAUUAAUUGUCAUGUAAUCCUUUUUUUUUUUUAAGUUUUAUCAUAAUUAGUUUCACUAAUUUCAGUCGUUUCUCUGAAAUAAAUUUACCCAUGUGAAAAUUUUGUGCUCUUUUCCUGUUCAUGGCAAUGAUUGAGUUGGUCAUGCCCAGCGUACUUUCAUCUGGGAUCUUGGUUGUUGAGGGGUUUAAAGAGGGCUUUUAAAGUAGAAAAAGGUGAUUCUUGAGCGGCAUUUUAAUAUUCCUGGGAGACAUCAGUAGACCAGGCAACUGGACACCACCCCGCAGUUUGACUCAAGAACAUACUUUUGUUUUAUUUGCUCAUGUUAUUAUAUUUAUGGCUUCUUUUGGUGUGUGGUUUUGAUUUCAAGGUAUUAUGCCUCUUCUCAGCAUCUUUAUUUUUCCUUAAUUUUUUCAAAUUUUAUUGCUGCUAGUUCCUCGAGACUUGCAAGGUGUUUAGUUGUAUUAAUCUACAUAAUCAGGUUCAAUAAGCCUUCUGCUUCUCCAUAAUUUUAAGGAAUUCAGUGUUUUAUUUUUUUUUUCCAAAAUAUUUUGAUUAAGGCAUUGUUUUCAAUGAUAAGAACGUACUAACAUUGACUCAAGGAACACAAUUUCACUGUGUGUAAACUUGUUCCUAGUGGUAAUUAGUACUUCUUCAUGAUGUUGUUCAAUUUGCUUUUGGUCUUUAUUAUUUUCUGUGAGUUUGGUUUCAGGAUCACAAGUCCAGUGAUGAACAGAAUGGGGGACAAACAAGUCAUGAAGAUCUUCUAAGAAAUAAUGGUCUGCCUUUUGCUCCCUCCAAGAUGUAACUAUAAAUCGCCUAAAUCGCCUUCUUUAAAAUUUCACUUAAAUUGGCAUGAUUCUUCGUGUCUUAUUGGACCAGAUCAACUCAUUUUGCAAUGUAAAGGUAGCAUAAAAAAUGGAGGUCAAGUUACCAAGCCAGGUUACUUCAGUUUCUGUGUUGAAAGUUGAAACUAUGAAUCUUGGAUCUGCAGUUUUUUACAUUUGUGACUUUAGCUUCACUUAUAUCAGGUCAAUCACUUUCUGCGCCGUUUGUGUUGCGGAUGCCAAAAAAACGCAUACUUGAGCUUAUUCUUGACAUAUUACAGAGGUGGUUAUUCUUUCAAAACUGUUUUUAUUUUAAAUAAUGCGGAAGUGCUGUAAGCAUAUACUAAUUGAGAAACAUUUAUCUCAGUGAUUUUUUACGAUCUUCUUUGCUUGUGUUAUUUUAUUAUUUUUAUAUUUUAGGAGAGAUACUUAUGAAAUAUUUGCAGAACCAGUUGACCCAAAUGAGGUAGAACAUUACUAUGAAAUCAUCAAAGAGCCUAUGGAUUUUGGGACCAUGAGAGCUAAACUUCAUGAAGGAAUGUAUAAUAGCCUUGAACAAUUUGAGCAUGAUGUGUUUCUAAUACCUAGAAAUGCAAUGCAAUUUAAUUCCUCAGGUACAAUUUUUUUCAGACAGGUAUGAUCAUCAAAUCUUUGCUAAAAUUCUGAAGCAGUAUUCUUACAAUUUUCUGCCAAGAUAGUUUACUUUUCCUGUGAGUGGAAUGUAUAAUCAUUGUUGCUACAGGCUCGUGCCAUUGAUGAACUAGCUAAGAAGGUUUUUUAUGUUCUUAAAACUGAUCCUGAAAAUUUUGAAUUGGAAUUUUCGGGAACAAGACGGCGACGAAUGAGCAGAAGAGCCAAAGAUGAAGCUAAGCGUUCAAAUUAUAGCUCAACUUCUAAACUUGCCUUGAAUUCAAGAUCCAAUAGUAUGGCACUCAGUGUGUCAGGAAAACCUAUGCUCAGUUCAGCAAACAGUACAGUGAAUUUAAGGCCAGCAAUGCAAGUAAUCCCUUGGUGCUCUGCCAGUGGUAUUACUGCUCAAUCAGACACAAGAGAUGUUGGAGUGCCUUUUGGAGGUGGAGAUGGUAGUGGAUCCAGUUUUUCAGAAGCAAAUAGGCGUUGUACAUAUAAGCCUCAGUUGUCAAUCCUUAAUGAGAAUCAUUCAAUUGUUUCAACCAUUUACAGUAAUUGCAAAGUACUAAUGCAUGUGAAUCAGCAGGAUAUCGGUUAUUGCAAAAGCUUAAUGUUGUUUGUUAAAGAUUUAGGGCCAAAAGUUAAAAUGAUUGCGCAACGCAAGUUAAAUGGAUGGCCAACUGAAUCUAACAAUUAUCUGUAUUCAGCUUCAAAUUUGCCUAAGACUCCAAACUGCAAGAAUCAUGUGACCACCAGCUUUGCCCAGUGGAUAUCCACUUCUAUGGAUACUUCAAUAACCAUUCAAAAUUCUCAAAAUUUAAGCAGUGGUGACAGAAUUGACAUGUGCGAUGCUUAUAGAAGGGAGAGAUCUUCUGGUAACAAAAUGGGAAUCGGUGAUGCUUCAAUGGAAAUGGCAUCACAGGUUCAUGAUAGUACCAUUGGAGCCGUUGGACUCGAGGCUCUGAACAGCAAUGAUACAGAGGUCGUAGGUAUUUCUAAGAGUGACAAUUUUCAACAGAAUCAGAAUGGUAGGAUUCAAAAUGGUCUGCAUUCAUCCAUUGCUAAUCCAAGAGAUCUGCAUCCUUUAUUUGCUGGGUUAAACAACAAGGACAAGAAGUCGACAAAAUUGAAACCAGAGAAAAACAAGAUGGAUAAUAAAUCGCAAUCAUGGCAUUCAGCUUGCAAGGUUUCUCAGUCAAAUGUUUUGGAAUGCAGGUUAAGUGACAGUUACAGCUUUUCAUCAUCUUCCUGGCCCUUAGAGACCCUGGCCUCAGGUACAUCAGGUUUUGAUCAAACUGUCGGCUCCAUGAAUAAUCUCAGUUCACAGUAUCUGAAAGGUUAUAACCAAGCUGUAGCAGCUCAAGUUGCAACUCAUGAACUGGGUUGUUCAACUGGGACGGAUUGGUCAUUGAAAUCAAGCCAGGCCUCAACAACACCAAUUUCCCAGUUCAUUUUCAAUCUACCAUUCCUGAGGACAAGACUUGAUCAAAUGAAUCCAUUGGGACAGAAGAGAUUUCUGCAAGAGAGCUCAGGUGGCCAGGGGCAUAUUGUGAGCGAGACUUACCACGAUAACGCUCCACAUUCGUCAUUAGAUACGCUUACAAGCUUGGCUCUUCAGCUGUAAGAAAUGAAUGACACGUAUAUCGUCAAGAAAGUACCCUUCUAAAACUUGCAAAUAUACUUGUAAAUCUCGUGGUCUGAAGGUUCCAUUUGGUUGCAGGAAAUCCUGAAUUUUUCUUUUUUUGGUACAUCUGAUUUUGAUCAAAACUCGAACUUUUAAAUCUCACAGCUUUAAACAUCACGCCAACACUUACUAGGCUAAGUUCUUUGGUUAUAGAUUAAAGUAAGCAAAAUCUGAAUGUAAUGGGAUUAUUUGACGGGUUUAGCUCAAGCAGAAAUAAAU